This 373-nucleotide long non-coding RNA is filed under the name Marmota monax (woodchuck). Lineage: Eukaryota; Metazoa; Chordata; Mammalia; Rodentia; Sciuridae. The record is from RNAcentral.
GCCCCGCCUGGCGCCCGAUAAGGCGUUGCUUAGCUCCGACUCCUCCCCAGGCGCAGAGUCGGGGGAACCAGUCUCCCCUUCCCCCCUCCCCUCCCCGCAACCCCGCCUAGGAGCUUCCCGCGACCCCCGGAUGGGGCGGGGCAGCAGCCCGUGGCCCCCUAGACGGGAGGAGGGCGUUCCUCCUGCAGUUCCUAUGCCGCAGCCGCUCCCGGGAAGAUGGGGGACCGUGGAGGUUCCGGAAUUUUAUGUGGAUUUAGGGGCUGCCAUCUAAUAGGAAGGUGCUUAAAAAAUUUUUCCCAAACUGGAAAUGUGCUCAGUGGUAGAGCAAUUGCAUAGCAUGUGCAGGGUUGAUCCGCAGCCCUGAGGGGACAGG